This 1140-nucleotide long non-coding RNA is filed under the name Ficedula albicollis (Collared flycatcher). Its description in RNAcentral is "lncRNA (ENSFALG00000029012.1)". Lineage: Eukaryota; Metazoa; Chordata; Aves; Passeriformes; Muscicapidae. The record is from RNAcentral.
GGGGGGGGGGGGGGGGGGGGGGGGGGGGGGGGGGGGGGGGGGGGGGGGGGGGGGGGGGGGGGGGGGGGGGGGGGGGGGGGGGGGGGGGGGGGGGGGGGGGGGGGGGGGGGGGGGGAUGGGGACAGGCACGGCAGGGUGCCACACCCCUGAGAGCUGGCACCUGCGGGAAGUGUCACUGUCACUGCAGGAAGUGUCACUGCAGGCAGGUUCCUUGGCUUGCACACACCUGCAGCAGCACCUGCGCCUGCUCUCUCCAGCCAAACCNUUGCACACACCUGCAGCAGCACCUGCGCCUGCUCUCUCCAGCCAAACCCUUGUGUGCCCCUGUGCCCAGCUGUGCCCAGCUGUGCCCCCAGCCCCUGUCCCCGUGCCCCAGCAGGGACACCACACUGAGCCUAGGCACACCGGGCUCCCCCUGUCCCUCGGGUGGCGCUUUUUGCCAUCACCGGGUGUAAAUCUCAGCGAUUUUUAAAUGUUCCCUGAAGGCGAUUUCCCUGUUCUCUAAGGGAAGGAUGAGUGAGUGCUGUGAUUUGUACACUUUUAUCAGUUUUCCUGAAAUGCCUGCUGCUUUUUUCUAUUAAAAAUCAGGGUAUUUUAAUGCACCGAGAAGAAACACGUGGUUUUUCUCUAACUGUUAUAAAUGAGAAACAAAGUCUCGACAUUCAGCCACAUUUGGAUUGGUUUGUUUUAUAUAGCCAGAGCUGGGGAAACGGGAGGGGUCACAGCCUGACCUUGGUUUGCAGCUCCCUUUUCGUAGUCUGGUUUUCCUUGUAGGAAUCAAUAAUUGUUAUUGAUUUGUUGUAAUAAUUCUGCCAGGUAAGCGGUGGUGGUCAGAGAAACUUCCAAACUUCAGUGGGGCAGCUCUUGGGACAAUUGGUCAUGGAACCAUCUGGUCUUGGUGGAUAAAAAACAGGAGAAGUGGGAAUUCUGAUCUUUAGCAGAUAGUGUGUGAUUGAUUACACAAAGCAGGAAAUCUGAUUCUGCAAAAAACCCUUUCAGACUUAUGGAAAACCCUUUUUUUUUUUUUUUUUUUUUUUUGGGGGGGGGGGGGGGGGGGGGGGGGGGGGGGGGGGGGGGGGGGGGGGGGGGGGGGGGGGGGGGGGGGGGGGGGGGGGGGGGGGGGGGGGGGGGGGGGGGGGG